CAAAUGAUCCCGGAUCACUGCAUUUGAACCCCGACAUCAAAAUAAUGAACCCCAUUCUCCAUUUGAACCCCAGUCGCCUGACGAUAACUUGCGAUCGCCAUUGUGAACCCCGUUUUCCAGAAAACACCUCGUGUCUCCCUUUCUCCAUUUGAACCCCGCUCUCCAGAAAAUGCCUCAACAUUUCCCUUCCUCCGUUUGAACCCCGCUCUCCGCUUUCUUGUGAUAAUU
RNAcentral lists this long non-coding RNA (228 nucleotides) under Lathyrus oleraceus (garden pea). Its description in RNAcentral is "Pisum sativum (pea) long non-coding RNA (PSAT_LNC020506)". The record is from RNAcentral. Lineage: Eukaryota; Viridiplantae; Streptophyta; Magnoliopsida; Fabales; Fabaceae.